This 440-nucleotide ribosomal RNA is filed under the name uncultured bacterium. RNAcentral describes it as "bacterial SSU rRNA". It matches the Rfam family "Bacterial small subunit ribosomal RNA", at positions 338 to 792 of the family's 1533-position model. The record is from RNAcentral.
CCUACGGGCGGCAGCAGUAGGGAAUAUUGCACAAUGGAGGAAACUCUGAUGCAGCGACGCCGCGUGAGUGAUGAAGGCCUUCGGGUCGUAAAGCUCUGUCGUAUGGGACUAACACAAUGAAGGUACCAUGCAAGAAAGGAUCGGCUAACUUCGUGCCAGCAGCCGCGGUAAGACGAGGGAUCCUAGCGUUGUUCGGAAUUAUUGGGCGUAAGGCGGGUGUAGGCGGACUUAUAAGUCAGGUGUGAAAUCCCAGGGCUCAACCCUGGAAGUGCACUUGAUACUGCAAGUCUUGAGUGUGGUAGAGGCUAUUAGAAUUCUUGGUGUAGUGGUGAAAUACGUAGAUAUCAAGAGGAAUACCGGAGGCGAAGGCGGAUAGCUGGGCCAACACUGACGCUGAGACCCGAAAGCGUGGGGAUCAAACAGGAUUAGAUACCCCGGUA